CGAGGAAAACAGGUCCAGAUGGAAGAACCCAGGAAGCCUGGUUUCCAGGCGCAGGGGCGGGGGCAGAGACAUCCCUCACGUUUCUGAACUCUCUGCCCCUGAACAACUAGGCCCGCUGCUGCAGAUCCACGCUGGCAGCCUCUUCUCAAGAUCUAUGCCCCCCGAAUAUGCCAUCCUUAACAAACCCCGGGAAGAACUUCCACAAAGAUCAUCUGAGACAGGGACAGGGUCCCUUUCUCAGCCUGGACUCGGAGGAGCUCUGUGGUUCUGGCUCUGAGUCAGGUCAUAUCGUCCGGGCGUCCCCAGUGCCACCUCGCUACGCCCCGCCCCAGACUGGAAAAUCAGGCUCAUGCCUCUGCCCGAGUCAGUGCUUCCCCUGCUUCCCCUCACGAUCUCGCUUUCCCCUAAAGGGAGGUAUUUCCUCGAAGCUGGGAAAAGUCAAGGGGGCAGAGACCCGCCAGUUACCGGGAGGCAAGAGCUCUUCCAGAAUCAAAAUUUGGUCCUGCAGAUCCUCGCUCUUGGCAGCCCGGGGGUCUUAAACAGAUUCCCUCCCUGGCCUCCCCAAAGGUUGGGGGCUUCAGGAAUCAGUGAGGAAGAAGGCAUGAAAAAUGACCCCAUGAGCCCCACGAACCCCACUCCUGGAUCCUGGAUGAGGGCAGGGCAGUUUGGGGAAACGGAACCCUGGCCGGGGGCGGGGGGGCGACCUCAGCCUGUGCCCACCUGCCGCCUGGGGGCGGGGUGGGGAGAACGAGGGAGUGAAACAGGAAGAGAGAUGGAGAGACAGAGAAUGAAAGCCAGAGAGAGAAACUGAGAUGAUGGACAGUCAGAAAGAGAUUGAAGGGCAGAACCGGGCGGAGUGGGCACUGGGAGCUGAAGUGUGGCAGUGAGUUGGGGGCGCUGGCAGCAGGGGUCUUCGCUAGCAUCACCGAUGCACAAAAGCUCAGUGCUGAAAGGGUGCAAGUCUUUCAUCUCAAGAAGGGGACAUCAAGGCUUAGUGAUGGAAUCACUAAAAGGGAGAACCGAGCUCAGAAGAACCCACCCCCUUGCCUCCCAGACCUUUUUUUUUUUUUUUAAGCCCAGAAGGGUUUCCAGAGCACCAGGCACUGGAGACCUUCAGGUCAGCCAGCACUUCCCACCUUCUCUGGGGUGGGGCUGGAGGCCGUAUUACAGCAGAAGACUGGAGAUGGAUGUGAAUUUGCAUGGCAAACGCACUUCUUCCUUUGAGCUGCUACAGGUCAAUAAAUAUAGCAGACCUUUC
Molecule: long non-coding RNA, 1258 nt
Filed under: Sus scrofa (pig)
Lineage: Eukaryota; Metazoa; Chordata; Mammalia; Artiodactyla; Suidae
Description: lncRNA (ENSSSCG00035028672.1)
Source: RNAcentral